GAUAAACGCUGGCGGCGCACAUAAGACAUGCAAGUUGAACGGACUUAAUCGAAAUAUUUAUAUUUUGAAGCGGUUAGUGGCGGACUGGUGAGUAACGCGUAAGGAACCUGCCUAUUAGAGGGGAAUAACAGUGAGAAAUCAUUGCUAAUACCGCAUAUGCCAUAGAUAUCACAUGAUAACAGUGGGAAAGGAGCAAUCCGCUAAUAGAUGGCCUUGCGUCUGAUUAGAUAGUUGGUGGGGUAACGGCCUACCAAGUCGACGAUCAGUAGCCGGACUGAGAGGUUGAACGGCCACAUUGGGACUGAGAUACGGCCCAGACUCCUACGGGAGGCAGCAGUCGGGAAUAGUGCGCAAUGGAGGAAACUCUGACGCAGUGACGCCGCGUAUAGGAAGAAGGUUUGCGGAUUGUAAACUAUUGUCGUUAGGGAAGAGAAAGGACAGUACCUAAGGAGGAAGCUCCGGCUAACUACGUG
This 473-nucleotide ribosomal RNA is filed under the name uncultured bacterium. RNAcentral's name for it is "partial 16S ribosomal RNA". It matches the Rfam family "Bacterial small subunit ribosomal RNA", at positions 28 to 507 of the family's 1533-position model. The record is from RNAcentral.